UGCCCAAGAGAUCGGGAUAACACCUGGAAACAGAUGCUAAUACCGGAUAAUAACAGAUGAUGCCUAUCAACUGUUUAAAAGAUGGUUCUGCUAUCACUCUUGGAUGGACCUGCGGUGCAUUAGCUAGUUGGUAGGGUAACGGCCUACCAAGGCGAUGAUGCAUAGCCGAGUUGAGAGACUGAUCGGCCACAUUGGGACUGAGACACGGCCCAAACUCCUACGGGAGGCAGCAGC
This 234-nucleotide ribosomal RNA is filed under the name uncultured Lactobacillus sp. RNAcentral's name for it is "partial 16S ribosomal RNA". It matches the Rfam family "Bacterial small subunit ribosomal RNA", at positions 127 to 355 of the family's 1533-position model. The record is from RNAcentral. Lineage: Bacteria; Bacillati; Bacillota; Bacilli; Lactobacillales; Lactobacillaceae.